GAUGAACGCUGGCGGCGUGCCUAAUACAUGCAAGUCGAGCGAACGGACGAGGAGCUUGCUCCUUUGACGUUAGGGGCGGACGGGUGAGUAACACGUGGAUAACCUACCUAUAAGACUGGGAUAACUUCGGGAAACCGGAGCUAAUACCGGAUAAUAUAUUGAACCGCAUGGUUCAAUAGUGAAAGACGGUUUUGCUGUCACUUAUAGAUGGAUCCGCGCCGCAUUAGCUAGUUGGUAAGGUAACGGCUUACCAAGGCAACGAUGCGUAGCCGACCUGAGAGGGUGAUCGGCCACACUGGAACUGAGACACGGUCCAGACUCCUACGGGAGGCAGCAGUAGGGAAUCUUCCGCAAUGGGCGAAAGCCUGACGGAGCAACGCCGCGUGAGUGAUGAAGGUCUUCGGAUCGUAAAACUCUGUUAUUAGGGAAGAACAAAUGUGUAAGUAACUAUGCACGUCUUGACGGUACCUAAUCAGAAAGCCACGGCUAACUACGUG
This 497-nucleotide ribosomal RNA is filed under the name uncultured bacterium. RNAcentral describes it as "partial 16S ribosomal RNA". It matches the Rfam family "Bacterial small subunit ribosomal RNA", at positions 28 to 507 of the family's 1533-position model. The record is from RNAcentral.